Long non-coding RNA from Dendronephthya gigantea, 2937 nucleotides. RefSeq lists it as uncharacterized. Lineage: Eukaryota; Metazoa; Cnidaria; Anthozoa; Malacalcyonacea; Nephtheidae. The transcript is spliced from 4 exons. The record is from RefSeq and is a predicted model, not a curated record.
CAGCUUCUAUUCAACGCUGCAUCUACGUUUUUAGUGUUGUCCAUAACGAUCUGUCCGAUAAUUGGAUUUAACAGAUUUUCAAAGUGACUGUCAAAAGAAUUCUCUGAUAUAGUUAACGCUGUUUCCCAGGCGUCAUCCGUUGAAGUUGUAUCUACAUGAUUCUCGACGUUUUCCACGAUGUCGUCUAUUGUCUUCGAACCCAUCUUUUGUACUCUUCCGACAAUCCUAUCGUACGAUAUUUGGACCUGAUCAUCAAGGAACCUAUUCAUUAGGCAAACACAUAUAUCUACUAAAAUCAUAUCGAAUUCAUCCAAAGUUGUAGAAUUCACAAGAAGGGACAUGCAAUACAUGUUGAAACGAUACCAAACUUUUUCGCGGCGAUCAACAUUGCUUUCUCUAUUCCGCCUUUGACGCCCUAUGGCACUCAAAUUUUUAUGAACGAUAUGCAUGAAAUGACUACACCCGACAUGUGGUAUCCUAAGGACGAAGUCGCCUUCUGCACCAUUUUUAUGUAGCAACCGAUAUGCUCUAUUUAGGAACAUCACCAACGAUUCGUUAUUAAAUUCUCUAAGAAUUGCUAAGAUUCGCUGUCAUCUGCUUGAGGUGGGUGGUAUACUACACAAACAAUAAUACAUGAAAUUCCUCUGGGAAGCCGGUAAGGUCUCAGUUUAAUCCACAAACACUCAUGGUUAGGACAAUCUAGGUUUGGAAGGGUCACGAAGGGUAUUGAAGAUUUGACAAAUACGCAAACUCCUCCGCCCCGUUUCUCAACACAGUCAUUUCGAACUAAAGCAUAACCCUAAAUGUGUACACAGCUGUCAGGAACAUUUGAAUUUAGCCAAGUCUCAGUUAUUCCAGCCAGAUCUACCUCGUUUGUUUUUAAAACGACAUCCAAUUCAUCAAUUUUAUUAGAUAUAGCCCUCACAUUUGAUAGGAAGAGUUUUGGUAGUUGGGUGUCUCUAAUUGGGGCAGGUUUACUUAAAUGUUUCCUAAUUGUAGCUAUUUUUAUCAAAUUUUGUAAGUGCCUUCUCUCUUCUUAACUUUUAAAAUUGUUUUGCAGUUGGUAAUUCGAAUACUCGUCGACGUCGGCUGUUGAUUUAGCUUCUUUCAAACUGUUUAUUUGAAUAAUAAUGCUAUCCAUUUGAUUAAGUAUAUUAUCGACCCCUGACUUCAUUUUACUAAUUUCUUGGGAAUUCUUUUCAAUCCUUUUUUCAUGAUUCGAUUCAGCGAUUGCUAUAUCGAGUUUGGUUCCUUCUAGAUCGGCGGAUAGCUCGUUACAACGGCAAGAGGACUCCGAAGCACUUGAACGCGUGGCGCUAUUUAGUUCAACGACACUUGGAUUACCCAAAGGCGAUAUCAACCUUUGCUCAAUCACAUGGUUGUUAGCUUCAAGAAGAAGUGUUUUCUUCUUACACCACCAAGUCAUGAUUGGGACAUCAUCACACCAGAGUACUUUUCUUCAUUCUCCGCCAGGCGAUGUCUACACGCCGUCAAUUUUCAAAUAUUCGCGUUCCUUCGCCAACUGCGGUAUAAAUGCUUCCUUCUUAAAGCCGUAUUUCUGAGGCCACAUUUUGUCAAGAUGAUACCCCAGUACCCUUGCGGUCUUCUCCAGCCCUCUCCUAUUUCUCUUCCUUAGCCAUAGAUAGCAUUACCUCGAUCACAUUUUCGAACGAUACAAAACCAGGGGAACGUUUCUUACGUCGUACCAUCUUCACAGCGGAUGAAUAGAUUAAAUAUUUACAUUGUGAAUGAUAUAAAGUUAAAGUAGAAAUAUGAUCAGGGGUGGAUCCAAGUGCACAAAUUUGCAUUACAAAACAAACAAAGAUUUAACAAAGUGGUUAUUUUUAGCAGUUUUCUUGUGUUUAGUGCUGGAUUCGGGGAAUAUGAUAUAUGCAUGCGAGGUGAGGAUGUGCGGAACAUUGUGGUAGAGGAUGUGCGGAACAUUGUGGUAGAGGAUGUGCCUUUAUGACCCUAUGGCUAUGGUGAUGUUGAAAGAAGAAAGAAGCUUCCACAAAAAAAUUAGAUUACUGAUAGCACACCUUCAAGCAAUAUGUCCAGACACAAGUCCACCAGAUGUAAAAUAUUUUGAUAAUGCCACAAAGUUUGAACCAAGACAACUUGAUGGAAGCUCAUGUGGUGUUUUUGUAUGCAUGGUAGCUGAUUAUAUGGUCAAUGGUUUGGAAGGAAGACAUACCAUGUUUAAGGAAAUACAUGGCUGUUCGCCUAGCAAAUCCUGAAAAGUACUCCAAAUACCAAUAAGGUAUGUUAAUGAAUGUCACUUAAAAUCUAUUGUUGACAGAAUGGAAUUGUUGAGAACUAUUCUCAUUAAACUAAAUUUUUGGUGGCAAGUACAAGACAAUUCAUUAACCAAUACCAAAUGCUUUCAGGAAACAAAGUGAACAUCACAACAAGGAUGACCAUGGCACAUACACACUUAAAGCAAAGGUUACAAAUAUUUUGUCUCUAUCAGAUGAUGGCUUGGAGCAGGUCUUUAAAGAAGUGUUAAAGAAAGGUGAUAAAGGAUUUUUAACAAUUAGCUUGGUUUGUAAGCGAUUUAGAGUCUUAGACAGAUAUAGUGGCUGCAGGGCGUGGUGGCUGGGGGGGCCGGGGGGGCCGCGGCCCCCCUGUGAAGCUCUUGAGAAGGGGCCCAAAUGCAAACGACAUAUCAACCUGAUGAAUUUCGAGCAGACAUGAAGGAAGCUAUACAAAGUGAGCUGCACCAAUUUUUCAAAUCAACUGACUUUAAGACGAUUCUAUCUGAAGCAGUAAAUACUCUCAUCGAACAGUCCGUCCAACAAGCUACAUUUCCUCUUCUAAAGCGAAUUGAAGCGCUGGAGACAGAGUUAACAAAUGUCACGAUAAAAGCGAAUGAAAAUGAGCAAUACUCAAGAAAAUAUAACCUACGAAUUAUAGGGUUGGACGAAACCGAUGGUGAAG